UCUCCGUAGGUGAACCUGCGGAGGGAUCAUUACAGAGUUCAUGCCCUAACGGGUAGAUCUCCCACCCUGUGUUAUCAUCACUUUGUUGCUUUGGCGGGCCGUCAGGCCUCGGCUUGGCUACCGGCUCUCGCUGGUAAGCGCCCGCCAGAGAACCCCAAACCCUGAAUAUCAGUGUCGUCUGAGUACUAUAUAAUAGUUAAAACUUUCAACAACGGAUCUCUUGGUUCUG
RNAcentral lists this unclassified non-coding RNA (229 nucleotides) under plant metagenome. RNAcentral describes it as "partial contains small subunit ribosomal RNA, internal transcribed spacer 1, and 5.8S ribosomal RNA". The record is from RNAcentral.